This is a long non-coding RNA of Cebus imitator (Panamanian white-faced capuchin), 2202 nucleotides long. RefSeq lists it as uncharacterized. The record is from RefSeq and is a predicted model, not a curated record. The transcript has 3 exons. Lineage: Eukaryota; Metazoa; Chordata; Mammalia; Primates; Cebidae.
CCUGGGACUGAACAUUUGCCAUUCUCUUUAGACGGGGCAUAGUUUCUCCAAUUUGCCCCAGUCUUCAGUACUUCUUAGAGAGAUUUCCUCCAAACCUACUCAAGCAUUCAUUAUCUGCCUUCUGUCUGUAGGCAUAUUAAUCUGUUAGGAAAUCUCAACAUUUUAUGAAUAUUUACCAAGCUUUCACCAUCAAUCCUGAGGAUCAACAGUCUAAUCCUGCCACUUAAGCCACAUCUAACAUAGGACUGGAUCUGCUGUUUUGGAAACUAAUUGAUACAAUUCUAUUAAACAGACUAAAUUGAGGUGAAAAUAGACCUAAUGACCAUCGAUGCAUCAGUUAGGUCAAAAUUUUUAUCUUUUCAUGCAUGUUAACCACAUGAAUAUACUUUUAAAGUUGGAGCAAUUAUCAUACACAACUACUUCUCCAAAUUAUGCAUAAAACACUGGUACUAGAAAAAGAGAAUGCAGUAUUUGAGAGCUUCAGGAAAUCCUAUUCUUAUCAGUAGAAAGAUGUGGAUGUACCAUGACUCAGAGAUAUUUUUAUAUGAUGCUAAAUGUAUUAUAAUAAAAUUAGCUUCUAUGAUUCGCAUUUACUAACAGCUCUGAAAGUUUCCUCACCUUGUAUAUAGAUUCGGAUUGGAAUACUUUUUGAAAAUAUUUUUCUUAUGUAUUUAAUUUUUUCAAUAAUGGUUGAUAUUUUUGUGCUGAAAUGGGCUUAAAUAUAACUUUAAAAACAAUUUAAAAUAAGACAGUUUACAUUAGAAAUAAUAACUGAGUUUAAGUUAAACCAAGACUAAUUAAAAAAAUAAAAGACCAACAUUACUGACUUUGGCCUCGAGCACAGUCAGUUUGGCAUAAUGGAGCCUCGCUGAACUGGAAGCCUGAGAGUUAUGCUGUCUGUUGAUUACAUUCUCUGUCACUCAGAAGGUAAUGAGACCAUUUUCCAUUCUGUAAAAUGGGAAUUAAAACAACUUCUGCAUUUCUUUUUCAGGGUGGUUGUAAGGAUCAAAUAUAAUAAAGAGUGAAAACACGUUAAUCUUAAGUGACACAAAGUUAUUUAAAGAAUGGAUUAGUGCUAUCCCAAUUAUUGACUUUUUUUUUUCCCUACAAUGGUCAUUUUCCCUUUUUGGUUUUCAUUGAUGGUGUCUGUCCUCACUUCCUCUGAAUAAAGUUUUGGAAUUUUUUUUUUUCAUAAUUGGAUAAAAUUAGAAAGAAUCCUGCAUCAAGUAGGAAGAUGCCUUAGCUGUUACAUUGUAAAAUUCCAAAGAAAAUCAUUAGGCACGUGGGCCCAUUUAGGGACUUCUGUUUUAUAAGGCAUGUUGGUGUAUAAGUGUAUGAGUAGAACUCCACAAAUUAUACUUAACAUUUACCCUUAAGUAAGCUGAUAAAUCUGCGUGAAAAGAAGCCCAAGUCUCCACUCUUGCUUCCAGUUCUCCUGCUUACAAAGCGAACUGUGUCUGCCAAUUCCCGAAAAGCCAAAGGGGGAAGCUCUUUUUUUACAAGCUACCUUUAACUGGCAACAUUUAGUGCACUACACUAAUACCCUAACAACAUCUUUACAGCAGCCUCAGUCAAGUCCUGCGCAUCCCUUAACCUUCAGGCCUGGGAAGAGAACUUGGCUUGCGGCCACCAGGAGGAGGCUUCUUUGUUUGAUCUGCUACAUCAUAAGCUUACUAGCACGGAGGGAUAGCAUGUCGUUGAACGUGGAAGAACACACCUUCAUCUGUAUUAAUGAAGAAAACUAUUGAAAACCAACAGACUAAUUAAGGGUAAUGAUGAACAAUUUUGAUCAGCCAUUAUUUGUUAAUAUUGAAGUUCGCUCCUGGAAAGAGUAGAAUGGGGAAGUUCGUCUUCCAGCUUCUACCCAGAAAGGUAGCGAGAGAGAUCCUGUUUCAUUUCCAUUUCUUCUCCCACAAACUGUUUUAACAUAUAAUUGAAUCAAUGCCUUUAUUUCAAAAGAAAAAAAAAGUAAUUAUAGAGCUUGUUGGGAUCCUGUAUGAAGAGAGGACAUUAUGCCUGCAUGAAUUCCAUCGGUGAUCUGAGGAGGAGCAGGCUGCUUGGACCAUUACCCAUCAUUGUCGAACAGCAGAGUAAUUAAUUGGGCAAAUACGUCUAGAUCUGGUGAAUUCACAUGCACAGUAACUGGGCAGCAGCAACACACACUCUUUUACUGUGAAUAAAAUAGCAAUAGUUUUCUGUGUC